This 6667-nucleotide long non-coding RNA is filed under the name Bemisia tabaci. Its description in RNAcentral is "lncRNA ENSASIAIIG010046". Lineage: Eukaryota; Metazoa; Arthropoda; Insecta; Hemiptera; Aleyrodidae. The record is from RNAcentral.
GCACGCGUAUGGUACUCUUGGUGGGAUUCUAAUCAUCGAAAAAUAAUGAGUGCCUGACGCUCAUUUGUGAGACGCGCAGCCAUCCUGCACCAUGCAUGUAAGCACCUCCUUCGUCGCAACAUGCAUCAUACUAAUGUUCAUGAUGUCAGAGGUGAGCUCAAUGGGAUCCCCUCAGCUCUCAAAAGAGAGCAAAAGCAAUAAAUUUGGUUGGAUACAGUCCAUGAAGUACAGCCUCAAGCGUAGCGGUCCGUCAAAAAGUUUUCUGGAGACACUCACCAACUAUUUCAGUUCUUCGAAGAAGGUGCCUCUUUCGCCGGCGGACAGCGUGACACUGGACCCCGCGGACAAAGAUCUCCUACAACGGGCCGGGAUCAUACCCACAAUAGGAGACUGGCUCUCUUCUGUUGGUCCAUCCAUCAUCGGAAAUAUCAAAUAUUUGGCCCAACGCGUGAAGGUGUCACUCGAGGCCCUGCCUGGAGAUGCACCGGUGCCGAUGAGCAACACGGUUAUCAUCGAAGCGAUGAGCCUGACCAAGGAGCAGAUCGACGAGCUGGAGGAGGACACCCGGUCCAACGGUGAGCGACUCCGGGCGGAGCUGCGGACUCGGCUGACGCCUGACCUCUUCGGGCCGAUCUGCCUGUACUCCGCCCCAGAGGCGCUCGGGAUCUUCCUCACGUCGCCGCGCCUGCCCCCGGACCUCUCGCAAAAGGCUUGGCCCCUGCAUGCCCUCUCCAAGGUCACGAACAAGGUCGUCACCAUGUCCGGCCUCGUCGUCGAUAGGGAUCGCGGAUACCUGGCCGCGCUCCCCGACGGCGUCGUCCAGACAGACGAUGCCAUUGUCAAGGUCCACGUCUUACAACGACCACGAAGGAACGGACGCCUAGAAGCCAUCGCAGGUGAUGCGGUAUCAAAGAGCAGUACGAUAUUUUACGAAAUUCAGGGGCUUCUGAACAUCACGAAACGCAGAGAAUGUAUCCUUAUCAUUGUCACCCGGAGACACAUAAGGUACGUCACCGUCCAGAGAGACGAGGAGUUCUGGAUUAAGAACAUGUUGGAUAAGAUCGUGAAUUUCUACGAGACGACACUACUACCCAAACUGUCGGAAGAAAUGUUUCCUCAUAUGCAUAAUGUACGAUCUGCAGCAAAACUUAUUUACACUGUCUUGAGCGCGUUGGAUAAUAAGAGAGUUCGGGAAAUUUAUCGUGACACGAAAGGUUCAGGUCCAGGUGCCUAUGACGUAUUGAUGACAGAAUCUCGUGUCCGGUUAAUGCCCGAACAUUACUAUCUCGUUAUGGAUCCCGCAAUGCAGAAUACAGAAAGAGUGAGGGAAAUCUUGAAAGGCUAUCCUACGUCCAGAGAAAGCUGGGAUCUCGAGCAGAGUUCCAGAAAGAAGUUCCUCGGAAGUUACCUAGCUGCGAAUCCCGGGUGGGAAAUCGAAGACGGUGGGUUGAUGAUCGAUCGGGCGUUGCCAUACCUGGCGGCGUAUCCUACCGCCUUUGGAGUCCGUAUCCGCCCGACGCCUCAAUUUGGCAAAAUAACCACUCGAUCAAGAAGCACCAGAGGAUUCAAAGUCUACAGCUUGGAAGGUAGGCACUCCCAACCCGAGACACAGCAGCCGCCGCAACCUCGUAGUAAUGGCUCCCGACCCAGGAGCAAUGGAGAAAUGAAAAUCGAUUCUCAGAAACCUGGAAGUUCACCACAACAAUCCAGGAAGAGGAAGAGGCAGAAGGUCAUUUUCGAAGUUGUUAUCCUGAACGGCGCAGAUGAAAAGCAGUUGAAUACGAUCCUAGUUGGUAAAGCAGGAAGAAGGUAAUGAAUACGUAAUUCUUACAAUGAAGAAUUUGCACCCACAAAUUUGAUCAUCGGCGGAUCCAGCAAAUUGGCAACAUCGUUUUUCUCCAUUUAAACCUAUGGAAUUAUAUCGAAUCUCGGAGGGGCCAGGUGCUCCGACAAGAAUCGAUAUUUAACAUAGGUUUGAAUGGAGGGAAUCCGGUGUUGCCAAAUUGCUGGAUCCGCCUCUGAAGUUGAUUGCUUCAUCUGUAAGUGCCUAAUGAGCUGAGUUCGCAGUCUUUUUCAUAAUUUUUUCUGGCAUGGGAAAUUUGAGAAAAAUUCAUUCAAAAGUGGGAAAAUAUGUCGCCUUGUGACGUCAUCUGGCGGCAUUUCCCAUUUAAACACAUAUAUUUUAGCAGAAUCGGUUAUUUUGUCAUAUCUCCUCUAAUAAUUGCUCAAUUUAUGAAUUAAGGGUAUCUUCGCGUGUUCAGUUCACUCAGUAGAUGCCACUUAAACACGAAAUUCAUCAAAUUUCAGACCCUUGCAAAUUCUCCAUUUAACCUAUAUUUUUUUCCAGAAGGAUGUCAAACGUCGCUUUGAGUCCAAUGGCGUGGCGUACUUUCCGAUGUAGGUAUAUCGAUUGAUCUGCCACUGAAACCUAUGAGAAGGGACCCAUAAACAGAAUGUUCGCAACGAACACUUAAAUAAUUGAUCAUUCACGCCUUGCCUCUGUUUGGUUCUGAUCUAAUGUCAUGUUGUAUUUAUUUUCGUGGAGAGACCCCAAAUAGUGCGGUAGGUACAGAAUGCAAGCCUUGUUGGCAUUUACAGUCCAAGGUGCUUGGGCUCACAAAUGAAAUUUCAUAAGAAUAAACUUCACGAAAUAAUAAUCCGUGGGACGGUGAAAUUAUGAAAGCUAAUCAUUUUCCAAAACGUUUGAGACCACAUUCACAAGAAUUGAUGAUAUAAUAAGCUCGUGGCAUAAUACUUACAAUUAGUCUUCGGAUGAGCGUUGUGUUCGUUUGUUGGGGCACAUUUCGACUUUCGAGAUAUUGAAAUUAAAUCGAGAUGUGGCGUCACACUAAAUGCGUCUAUCGCCAUUGAGGUUGGCCGCGGGGCAUGCCCCCCCCCCCCCCCAGUUUCUUAUAAAGUACCUUUAUAGACAGAGUAUGGCCAUUUGUAUCUUUUUACUACAGGAAAACUGUUCCGCUUUUUGAUUGGUCAACGAGUUUUUAGGCUUCAUGAUGAUCUUACGGCCGUAAAUAAACAAACAAGAUGGCGGCUCACCGUAGCAUUGAUAAAAAGCUAAAUUAAAAGCUAAACAAGUCGGUCAUUUUGAGUUCACGAAUGACGUUUCCAAUGCUCAUGCUGGGCAUUGGAUGUUCUCCCAGUAAAGUGUAAAGUCUCCGAAUACGUACUUCACUUCAAAUUAAUUUUUUUAAAUUAUAAGGGUUCGAAAAAAUGAAUGAUCAAUUAGGUAUUCCUUUGUAACCACCACAGUCCUUUUCUUUGAUUAUUGUCCCAGUUUGAUUUUUGUUGCCAUCUUGAAGUUUUGUGACGUCAGGCGGGUACCACUUUUGCCAGCAAAUCUGUUGUAGCGCAUAUUUCAAAUCUUCGCCUGCUCUCAUCAAGAUGAGGACGAGAAGCAUUAUUGUUAUUGUUUGAUAUACAUAAGUGAAAUGACGAUGAGAUAUAAAUUAUCCGUCACAUUCCUUCCCAAAAAUGAGCCUGUUCCAGCUGAAUCUGUUCCAGCUGAAUUUAGUUUUUUAUUUCUGAAUGAUGAAAGAAUCUCAAAGGAUCGAAAUAUGACUAAUUCCUAGCUCUGUAGCUUGCAAGAUAACACCCUUACUUACCUGAGUUAUGAAUUUUUCCAGUAUCGUUGAAAUAUAAGUAGAGUACCUAGUAGCGUCACCCAGUGUCACAGUAUGUCAUAUUUGAUGUAGGUAAUUCUCAUCCAAAUAAGAGAAGAAUAAAUAUUUAAGUACCUUCAUUAACACCAAGUAGACGAAAGUUCCACUGUGAACUUAGUUGGCCAAUAAAAAUGCAAACAAUGAAGCAAUUAUUUUUAUUUCCUGACUCCAAAUGGUAAGAAUUAUGGUAAGAAUUCUAAGGCAUAGUAAAAACUGUAUUUAUCAUUCCUCAAUAAAUACAAGGUUGACUGUUUGCAUGGAAAUGAUAGUACAUUAGUUGGCUUAUCUAUUACUCUAAACUUUAGAUUAAGUUGAUGAAGGUAGCAGGUUGUCGUCAGCAAGAGCUGUUGAUAUGAGUAUGUAGUUUAGAAUGGUCAAUUUUUAAUUCUUCCAGAGGAGCAUCAUUAGUAUUUAAUACAAAACUCUCAGGGGUCUCUGGAUACUAUGCCACCUCUAUCAAGAAUUUUUAUGCUAAUUUUGUUGCUAUAUGGUGAUGGGAGAGAUAAUUUCAAGAUUAUUUUGGUAAAAGUCGGACAAAUAUGAGGAUGCCAAGUUUAUAAGAAAAUCUCACAAACCAAAGUGAAAAUUGUUUCAUGCCUGUGCAAUUAUCAGCUUCGGGCUAGGUUCUCGCAAGAAGGUCAGCACAACGCGCUGAUCAAACUUUUGUGGAAUUUCUUGUUAAUUUUAGAAUGUGUGCCAAAGUCACAGUAAGUAUUCCACAAGAAUUGUAAAUCUGAAAAAUCUAGAAAAAUAACAAGUACCCCUCAGCCUCUGCGCAAUUUGCACCCCUGCUAAUAAAUGUUGGAGAAUAGAGAACACUCUACCCUCAAAACAUUACUCGCACUGAUUUUAAACUAAUAUGUAAUUAUAUGUGUACGAUGGUGGAUCUGAGCUGUACUGACUUACCAAACUUUGUUGAGCGAAGUUGUUACUGAGGGGAAAUUCAUUAACCGCUGCCAAGGAUUCACAAACUCUGACCUUGAUAAAUAUUUCCGACAUAUACUUGAGAUACAGUCAGAUGUUUAGAAUUCUGGACAUUCAGUUAUUGUUCACAUACAAAAGAAAUUGACUAACAAAUACAACCGUUUUAUAUUUACAUAACUGCUCAACAGAACAUACCAACAGUUGUGAUUAGUUUCUCGACAGCACUCUGAUAGCGGUAUGAUAGCUAAAGGAUCCCUACCCUGCGGCAAAAAUGGAGUUGAUUGAAAUUUUGAUUCACAUGGUGCUAAUGCUGUCAAGACUCAAGACAAAAUUACACUCCACGCACAGUCAAAGAGUAUUUUGAUAAGUAAGAUUAUCCAUUAAGGAAGUUGCACAAAUCAAACCGAAGGACACGGACAAACCAAGGAGCCAGCUCAGAAACUCGGCGAUUCAGUUUCUCUCACUGCAAGAGGUGGAACCAUCCAAAGUACCAUCAAUGUUAAGUUGAAGGGGUGAAUUACUUAUUUAAAGUGUGAUAAGUCAUUUUGGGACUUUUUCGAAGAGAUUUAAAGGAAAAAAUUGGAAAAUUUUCAACUAUAAAAUGAAUGUAAACAAUCCGCCAUUGUAUCAAAGCUGACGCACAAAUGAAACAAGCGAUAAACACAAGGGGGAAAAAGUACAUACGUAAAUUGAUUUUGUUUUAUAAGGAAAAUGGUGAAAAAGUUAGGAAAUUCAUAUUGGAAAUUGAAGCUUUAAGAUAUAAAGAACUUCAGAUAAUUAAUACAGUUUAUUUAGAAACGGAGUUAAAGAAGGCAAAGUUAAGGAAACUCAGAAGGAACAGGGUAUUUUGUAGGAAAGGGUUGGUAGGUCUAGAAUUGAAUCGACGUAUCGACAUAUCGAACAGCGACUAUCGACAGUCUCGAAAAACCCGUGUAAAAUACACACUAAUACUAUAAGCGGUUAGGUGAAAUCUUAUGGGAGCGCACUCACACAUACAAAAAAUCGCAUUUUCAAACGAAUUUUUUGCAAGAGAACAAAGGGAAACAUUACUAGCGAUCGAGAUUUUUCGAGAUUUUUACAUUGAUGAAACGGCUAGGGUGAUAGGAAAGUUCUCCCCAGUUGAUCACUGGGAGAACAAUAAAAACGCUAAUUAAAAGCUAAUUAAAAGCUAAAUAAAAAGCUAAAUUUCAAUUAUACGUCAGUAACAAUUUAAACUAGGAUAUCUACGAAUAACACACGAAAACCUUGUUGAAUCGCCUUUCACCUUUAUCACAGGAGGAUGUAAGAUGUGCAUAACCUCAAUCUUGCUUGCUGAUAACAGCCAUCUUGUUUGUUUAUUUACGGCCGUAAAAACAUCGUGUCAGCCUAUUUUCACGCGACCAACGAAAAACCGGAACAGAAAUGGCCAUACUCUGUCUAUAAAGGUACUCAAGUUUCUUAUAACUUUUACCUAUACGAUUUCAACAGGUGGCUGCGGAAAGGCUCGAAGUACUAUUACCGAGUGCAAGGUUCUAUGGCGAUAAGUCGCGUGAAAGAGUGCGUUUUUAUUCUGGCGAAAGAAGGGACGAAUAGUGGUGGUGGAGAAAUCCUACACUCGGAGACCAUCGACGUGGACGUGAAAGCCUGGCAUGACCUGCAACAGCAGCUGGCACAUUUCUAUUUCGGCGUGUAUCUAGUCUACCACGCCAGUCCGAAAUCCUUCGAGCUCCUCGUCCGCAACAAAAAACUCGAUGAACUUUUCCGUGAGGACGAACUUCUCUUUCCCCACAAAGGCGCAAGUCGAAGAUGAUAAAAAGAAAGUUCAAGAUGAUAAGAAGAAAGCUUUGAAACUUACAGCUUCGAAGGGUUAGAGACUAAGGCUAAUGUCUAAUAACUUGUUGAGCCACAAUCAAAAAUUAAAGUAACCUCGUGUCAUCGUUUAUUCUCCUUUUUAAAAUAAACUACCAAAUAUUUAAAAAAUGUUUCAAUUCUCUCUCCCCGAAAUAAAAUGAGAUCACAAAAUAAAAUUACAGUAUACACUGAGAGAAAAAUCUCGGUGUAUUUACUAAGAAAAGGGUAAAAUUACC